ACGAACGCUGGCGGCGUGCUUAACACAUGCAAGUCGAACGGAAAGGCCCUGCUUUUGUGGGGUGCUCGAGUGGCGAACGGGUGAGUAACACGUGAGUAACCUGCCCUUGACUUUGGGAUAACUUCAGGAAACUGGGGCUAAUACCGGAUAGGAGCUCCUGCUGCAUGGUGGGGGUUGGAAAGUUUCGGCGGUUGGGGAUGGACUCGCGGCUUAUCAGCUUGUUGGUGGGGUAGUGGCUUACCAAGGCUUUGACGGGUAGCCGGCCUGAGAGGGUGUCCGGCCACAUUGGGACUGAGAUACGGCCCAGACUCCUACGGGAGGCAGCAGUGGGGAAUAUUGCACAAUGGGCGGAAGCCUGAUGCAGCAACGCCGCGUGCGGGAUGACGGCCUUCGGGUUGUAAACCGCUUCCGCCUGUGACGAAGCGUGAGUGACGGUAAUGGGUAAAGAAGCACCGGCUAACUACGUG
This 467-nucleotide ribosomal RNA is filed under the name uncultured bacterium. Its description in RNAcentral is "partial 16S ribosomal RNA". It matches the Rfam family "Bacterial small subunit ribosomal RNA", at positions 29 to 507 of the family's 1533-position model. The record is from RNAcentral.